AUACGGAGGGCGCAAGCGUUGUUCGGAAUUACUGGGCGUAAAGAGCGUGUAGGCGGUUGGGAAAGUCGGUUGUGAAAUCCCCGGGCUCAACCCGGGAACUGCAUCCGAAACUUCCGAGCUAGAGUCCCGGAGAGGAAGGCAGAAUUCCCAGUGUAGGGGUGAAAUCCGUAGAUACUGGGAGGAAUACCAGAGGCGAAGGCGGCCUUCUGGACGGUGACUGACGCUGAGACGCGAAAGCGUGGGGAGCAAACAGGAUUAGAUACCCGAGUAGUCC
RNAcentral lists this ribosomal RNA (274 nucleotides) under uncultured bacterium. Its description in RNAcentral is "partial 16S ribosomal RNA". It matches the Rfam family "Bacterial small subunit ribosomal RNA", at positions 523 to 796 of the family's 1533-position model. The record is from RNAcentral.